CAUCACAGAGGGAGCAGGGUGGCGAUGCUGGCAGCUGUAAGGUGGAGGGACUCUCACAUGGUCGAGGAGUGCAAGGACCCCAAGUGCAAGGGGUGGGGCUUUGAACACCACCAAGACCCCCUUCUGCGUGACACCCAGGCCUGGCUUCUGAACCACGGGGAUGUGUAGCCCACGGAAGGAGACAGACCACAUCAGAUCAGACGUGUUACAGAGAAAAAGACAGCAGAGCGCAGUCAGGACUGAUUUUCUGCUUACACAGGGCUCCACCUCCUGUCUGCAAGGUCUGCCUCUGAAGGUUGCCUACCGACAGAAGCACAGAGCACACGGUCGUGGCUUGACUGGCUCCAUACGAGAAAGCCUCAGGCACAGCAAUCAAUGUGUGUCUCGUGACUGACAGCACCGAGCUGAGACCAGUUCUCCCCUGCUACUGGACACGAAGCAGACGCCAGACACCCACAGAACCACGCACGAGGCCACCAGCCUGCUGGCUACCCGACUCCCCCCUCCCCAGGCAAUGCACUCCAAGACUUGGGGCCCUCAGAGCACCAACCAGUGCCCGGAGCACUGCCUCAGCAAUUGUCCCCUCUGCCCGGAGCCGGGCCGGACGCCUCGCACCAGCACCCAGGAGCUGGAGAGAGAGGCAGCCUGCCCGACCCAGUCGGGGCCGGGCACCUUUGCUUUGCGGAAUUGCAGGGGGAAAAGCAGAGCCAGAGAGGAGGUCCCGGGGGGACACUGAGGCCAGCUCCACUUGCUUUAUGAGCCAGUGGCCAGCGGGUGUGCACUGCCACAACUGCCUUUCUGAGGAGUCCACGGGGAGUCCACGGCAUGGGUGUGUGCACACCAGUAACGAGGGAAAGGCUGCAGACAGCAUUCAGACCGAGACUCCUUUUUUCGAAAAACUAGAAGUGCAGUAUCGUCAAGAACGUUACUUCUUAAAAUGUUUUCUGGGACUCUGGCAAAUUCCAUCAAAAUUAAAACACACAUUUCUAGAAAUAAAUCGUACAGCAAUACCUACCUGGUUGCACACAGGAUACUCACCGGAGCCUCUGCAAUACGAACUGCCCCCCGCCCCCCAGCACUGAAAUAAACUGAUGCUUUCCACCAGUGGGAUAUUUAUGCGGCUGCCCCACACAGGCAGCCCACACUCCCCAAAAUGGAUACUGGGGAUUCGUUACCCACAAAAGGCAGUCCCAGCAAAAGGCAUAAAAGUGCCGUACUCUGAAA
This is a long non-coding RNA of Felis catus (domestic cat), 1224 nucleotides long. RefSeq lists it as uncharacterized. Lineage: Eukaryota; Metazoa; Chordata; Mammalia; Carnivora; Felidae. The record is from RefSeq and is a predicted model, not a curated record. The transcript has 4 exons.